RNAcentral lists this long non-coding RNA (1354 nucleotides) under Zea mays. RNAcentral's name for it is "long non-coding RNA (ZMAY_LNC001108)". The record is from RNAcentral. Lineage: Eukaryota; Viridiplantae; Streptophyta; Magnoliopsida; Poales; Poaceae.
GUCGAUCACUUGGUGACCAUCCUUUGUCUUGGCAUUCGUCAGAUUAUCCAUCUUCAGGUUCGUUCAUCAGCAUCACUGUUCGGAGUAGGUCGUGCUUUACGACAUCUUGGGUCGGCUUGGUUCGUCCUCCGCAUCACGUGAUUAACAAGCGUACCUAAUUGAAAUGCAUGAUGCACAUGAAUGCAUAUAGACAUGAAUAGUACAAGACUAAAUAUUGCUACAUGACAGCGAAUUAAAAACCUAGUGACGAAGCGUCGUACCAUUUCAUAUGAAAACACUAGUAUCGACAUAAGACUAAGUGCAAUAGCCGUGCCUUUCUAGUUUAACCAAAUCUCAUUCAAACAUCAUAGAGUUCUACAAAACGACCUUCUAAACAACCAAAGAUCUAUCCCGCUUAUGCGCACUCUCCACUAAUAGUCCUCGGGUUUUCACAGGAAUAGACUUAUCAAUGUUCUUCGCUUCCUAAAUAUUUUGUGUAACAACCAUUAUAUAUUUAUAACACUUAACCAGUCAACAAACAUAGAGUUUUUCACAAGAUCAUAAUUUAGAUCCUAAAGAGUUAAAUCAUUAAGGUGUAAAGUCUACUAUGUAGUUUUCAGAAUUCACCUAAAGCGAACCUUAUGGUGAUACUUGCUCUAAACUAAUUAAAAUAUUGAUGAACAUUUAUUCAUGACAAUUUACUUAUGUGACCAAAUUCAAAUAUGACAUUUAACGGAUCGAUAAACAUGGAAUUCGACAACUACUAAGGUAAUGCAUCAUCCCACCACUUAAUUAAAAUUAGCAUAAUCAAUUUUUAAAAGAACCUAUUGACUAGUCGUUAGAGACACUAGACCUAUUCCUCAUAUUAUUACUUCGACCACUCAUCGGAUAAGAAACACUGAUUUAAUCCUUCCCGUUCAACCUAUGUCGUUAAACCUAAACUUAGCUACGUAGCACGACGACUUCGCAACCGUGGACACAAUUACCAUGAUACAUGUAGCCCCGUAUUCCUACAAGCGUCAAAUAAAUACGUGCCUAAGCUACAAGCGGAAUAAUCGUCACGACAUACAUACCUAUCAAUCCAUCCAUCAAACCAGUCAAUAAGAAUAGCAAAUCAGCUCACCGUUCCAAUAUCUGACUCGAAUCUGCGAGAUUGGUAAUGAUUUUCCGAUCCGGUCAAUUUGUCGAUCGCUUGGCAGGUACUAAACGAACUUCACGCACACCACCAUCCAACAUUCAACAAAUUUCUCCAUAACUGGCUAUGACCUUUCCUUCUGUAUCUUCACGCCACACACCACAUGACGAACUCUCAACACCGAUCAGACUUAAUCCGAGUACCCGGCGAAAUUAAACUCAGCUCGCAGCCGAUGUCGCG